Molecule: ribosomal RNA, 497 nt
Filed under: uncultured bacterium
Lineage: Bacteria
Description: partial 16S ribosomal RNA
Rfam family: Bacterial small subunit ribosomal RNA
Source: RNAcentral
GAUGAACGCUGGCGGCGUGCCUAAUACAUGCAAGUCGAGCGAACAGAUGAGGAGCUUGCUCCUCUGACGUUAGCGGCGGACGGGUGAGUAACACGUGGAUAACCUAUCUAUAAGACUGGGAUAACUUCGGGAAACCGGAGCUAAUACCGGAUAAUAUAUUGAACCGCAUGGUUCAAUAGUGAAAGACGGUUUUGCUGUCACUUAUAGAUGGAUCCGCGCCGCAUUAGCUAGUUGGUAAGGUAACGGCUUACCAAGGCAACGAUGCGUAGCCGACCUGAGAGGGUGAUCGGCCACACUGGAACUGAGACACGGUCCAGACUCCUACGGGAGGCAGCAGUAGGGAAUCUUCCGCAAUGGGCGAAAGCUUGACGGAGCAACGCCGCGUGAGUGAUGAAGGUCUUCGGAUCGUAAAACUCUGUUAUUAGGGAAGAACAAAUGUGUAAGUAACUAUGCACGUCUUGACGGUACCUAAUCAGAAAGCCACGGCUAACUACGUG